RNAcentral lists this signal recognition particle RNA (79 nucleotides) under zebrafish metagenome. RNAcentral describes it as "Bacterial small signal recognition particle RNA". It matches the Rfam family "Bacterial small signal recognition particle RNA". From Rfam's summary of the family: The signal recognition particle (SRP) is a universally conserved ribonucleoprotein involved in the co-translational targeting of proteins to membranes. Archaeal SRP consists of a 7S RNA and homologues of the eukaryotic SRP19 and SRP54 proteins. The record is from RNAcentral.
GACCUCAUGGAACAGGGCAGUUCGAACCAGGUCAGGACAGGAAUGUAGCAGCCUUAAGGAUGGAGCCAGGUGCCUUGAG